AAAAUGACCCACUGCUGCUUUAACCUUGAAAAUGGCAGACAUGGAGAAAGGAGAAACACGCCUGUUGCCAGGAACAUUGCUGCCUCAGCCAGCAGAAUGUGGGACCCUUCUCCUCCCUCACUGGAGCUGACAUCCCGCUGAAACAACAGAGGAAACCGGAGGGAUCUUCCUGUCAGGACUGCCAUGGUUGCUGCGGCAGAAAUAUGAACUAGCUGACACACAUGAAGGAGAGGAUUGGAUUUGAGGAGAUACUGACGGGGGUGCACAGCUGCAACAGUCCCCUCCAUCUCCACACCAGGACUAAUCCCCCCCCCCUCUCUCUCUCUCUCCCUCCCUGUGUGUUUGACUCUCCCUCUGUCGCACUCUCUCUGCUUUCUGCCUCUCGGAGGGGUGGGGGGUGCCAUAUGGGAGCUCAGAAAAAUGGAAGUGGAGCGGAGAUAGACAAGAGAGGAAUCUGUCAUUCUCGGGCUCGGAUGUCGGGGAUCUAUGUGAGAGGCGAACUAAAAUCUGACCCCAGGCAGCGAAACCCCCAGAGCAAGACACUUCCAUGAAGGGAGCCGUGGCAAUUGUCUGUGUUCCUCCGCGCUCCAAGGGUGAUGAGGAGGAAGAGGAAGAAGAAAAGAGGUGGUGGUGGUGGUGGUGGUGGGGCUUGGUGGGGUUGAAGAAGCGGAGGGGGGGGCGUUUCCUGCCAGCGCAGAGCAGAGUCAAGCCCCCCCUCCCCUCGGCUCCUCAUUAGUAUGCGGCGGCUGUUGCUCAGGUGACACGGCUGCUGGAUUCGGUCCCGACUGCGGGAACAUCAGCAGCGUGGCGGAGAGCGGGAUAGCAGGUAAGGACAAUGAGAGAGAGAGGAGGAGAGAGGGAUGGACUUCUUUUAAGGACGUAACACCCACACACAUGCAUACACUCGUACACUUUACACUGCUGUAAUGCACACACACACACACACACACACACACACACACACACACAUAUUCUCAGGUUCAAGUCCAGCCUCCCUCCCAAUGCCAUAUCUACAGUGAAGGACAGUAAGUGUGUGUUUUCUUGAAUUCAGAUAAGUAACGCUAUCUGCUGAGUUAUGCUAGCUGAGAUGCCGUAGUAUUUGGGGUCGUGCAGUUUUCUCUGUUGAUAAAAUAUUUGACUUGCUGUACGUUUCCAAAAUGCAUUCAUUCACAAAUAAUAGUUUCCUGUAUUUUAUGUGACAGAAAAUGUAAUAAUAGUAGUCUUUACAAUAUCUAUUCCAUACUGUAAAUAGAGUGAUUUCAAUAAAUGUCAAUAAAUGUCGAAUGUGUUCUGUGCUUGGUUAUUUAGAAAUGUAAUGUUUUAUUCCAUGUAAGCAAACAAUGAAGGAAUCCUGCAGCUUCGCCUCAAAACAUUUUCAUUGUUUUCACUUGAGAGGUUUUCAUUCCCCUUGAUAUGUAGGAUAUUGGUUUUGUUGCCAAAGGCAACAAAGAGAGAGGUGUAUUAGACAAAUACUCAUACGCUCUGUAAGUGUGUAUCUUUGUGUGUUUGUGUGUGUGUGUGUGUGUGUGUCAGAGGAAAAGAGAAUACGAGGAGAGGGUAAGAAAGGGAGGAAAAAGAGUGUGUGUAGGUGUGCUUUUGUUUUGCUCUAUUUGUGUGUGUGAGAGAGAGAACUAGAGACAGACUGCGUGUGCGUGUGUGUGUGUGUGUGUGUGUGUGUGUGUGUGUGUGUGUGUGUGUGUGUUUGUGUGCGUUGGGGGAGCAGUGCGGCCAGGCUGCAGAUAUCAUCCAUCUCCCUGUCACCGGCCCAGGGGCUGCUGGGAAAGUGGCAGACAGCUCCCCGGCUCUGACAACAGAGGCUGCAUCCUAAUUUUCCGACACAGAAUGCUUGAAAAACCUGCACCGCUCCUCCCUCACCACCCAGUACGGAAAACCAUUAACCCCGCGAUCCGGGAACAAAGCACAGAGCUCAGCCCAGGCCACCGCUGGCUGCGCGUCCUAUCUGCUCCCAUCAUCCACCAGCAACACUUUGCAUGAACUCCGCUCUAUAAAACAUUCAUAGCACCUCGGAGACUGCCGCGUUAAAGCUCCACAUAUCGAGCAACACCAUCAAACGAGUUCAUUUUUUAAGUCACGUCUAACUAGGAGGUCAUGUUACUGACUGAUACUUGAUGACACUGCAGUGAUUUCAUUUGUGCAUUUUCAAAAUAAAAGUCCUCCUGGCAAUAGCUGUUCUAACUGGAUUACAUGCUUUCUGGUUAGCCAUGACUAAUUGCAUUAUAAAGCUGUUGUCAGACAUUCUAUAGCUUUUGUUAUAUGCACCAGCACUUUUGAUUUCCCAUCUCUCCAAGUGUUUCAAUUUCUCUGGUCUCUGGUCCAAGGAAUCAAAUAAGCACUGGCAUGAGGAUUACAUUAGUUCUCAUUAACGUGUCCUGUGUGUAGCUGUAGGUGAGUUUUUUCCUGCUAAAGUUAUUUGAGUUUGGUAGUUAAUCGUAAGUAAGGAAAUUAAAAAGCCUUCAGAAAACUUUAAGGCACAUGGUUUUCGCAAUCUAAUUAACACAAUGUCCACACAACAUACAAUAGUGAAGAAAUAGUGUAAAUAAACGAGUACAGAUAAAUAUUCCCAUCAGAGAGAAAACAGUAUAUCUGGAAAUAUAUUUACAAUACAUAAAUACACAAAAACUACUGAAAUAGAAUGAAUGAAUGAAUGUGUAUAAUUAUGAUGAGUAAAGCUUUUUUAGAUCAAUUUCAGCUCAAUUCACUCAUUGAUAGAACAUAUAUGAAUGAAUAUUACAUCCCACUGUCAAAAUCUCCGCUGAUAGUAACUCUGUCUCAUCCUAAUGAUGUUUCUGGCUGACUGUCACCUCUGCCUCCUCUUCCCGAACUGUGCAAUAUAAAUAUUUGUUCCUGGUAAAUGAUGUAAUUGUUGGAAAUUUCAUGAUUUUCCCCUCAGAAAACGCCUGUGGAAUAAAACUAAUUCUAAGAAAGAA
Molecule: long non-coding RNA, 2948 nt
Organism: Dicentrarchus labrax (European seabass)
Lineage: Eukaryota; Metazoa; Chordata; Actinopteri; Moronidae
Exons: 7
Source: RefSeq, a predicted model, not a curated record